RNAcentral lists this transfer RNA (73 nucleotides) under Trichonephila inaurata madagascariensis. It matches the Rfam family "tRNA". From Rfam's summary of the family: Transfer RNA (tRNA) molecules are approximately 80 nucleotides in length. Their secondary structure includes four short double-helical elements and three loops (D, anti-codon, and T loops). Further hydrogen bonds mediate the characteristic L-shaped molecular structure. tRNAs have two regions of fundamental functional importance: the anti-codon, which is responsible for specific mRNA codon recognition, and the 3' end, to which the tRNAs corresponding amino acid is attached (by aminoacyl-tRNA synthetases). tRNAs cope with the degeneracy of the genetic code in two manners: having more than one tRNA (with a specific anti-codon) for a particular amino acid; and 'wobble' base-pairing, i.e. permitting non-standard base-pairing at the 3rd anti-codon position. The record is from Rfam by way of RNAcentral. Lineage: Eukaryota; Metazoa; Arthropoda; Arachnida; Araneae; Nephilidae.
GGGCCGGUUGCGCAACGGAUAACGCGCCUGACUACGGAUAAGGAGAUUCCAGGUUCGAAACCUGGCUGGCUCG